This is a long non-coding RNA of Mustela erminea (ermine), 692 nucleotides long. RefSeq lists it as uncharacterized. The record is from RefSeq and is a predicted model, not a curated record. The transcript is spliced from 3 exons. NCBI's taxonomy places the organism in Eukaryota, Metazoa, Chordata, Mammalia, Carnivora, Mustelidae.
UCUGCGGAGGAGAGUGGUAGCAGUUAGCUUGGUGAUCACGUGGCCUGGAGCCUCCGCAAACAAGCCAACCUCCUGGCUGCUGGCCUGCCCACCUCAGCCCCAACCUGUCUCCCUCCUGCACUGUCACUCCCGGAGGCGCUAGCAGAUGGCCUCUAAGCACAGCGUCUGGAGCUGGACCGCUGCCGAGGGGGACACAGGCAGAGGACGGAUAGGCAGACCGUAAGUGAGAUGCCUGCGCAGCCCGAAUGCCUGGGGCUUCCAGGCUGUACUAGCACCUGAAAGACUGCCUGUGAUUCCACCAGAGGGCGAGUGGUCUCUCCUGCUCCCAGCCUGCUGGCUCCCUCCCAGACCCACUGUGAGGCUGCCCAUCUACCCUGUUCCAUCUCUUCCUGUCAGGAAGGGCAGAGGAAGAGGAUGGGAUCUUGGCUCACCAUGCUCACGUGUUUCUUCGUGAUGUCAGGUGGCCCCCGAAAGACGAAGCUCCUCCACCUGCCAGCUCCCCCAGAUGAAAACAAAAUGGCAACUGGAGUUACGGAGAGGAAGAGGGCACCUACAUGUGCUUGCUCGUCAGAGAUUACCAAAAACAUAAGCAAGAGUGGUCGCCUCCAGCAGACUGGCAGGCAGGGCCGGAGGGAGGCCUUCACUGUACACCAGUUCAAAAACUGCCAAUUAAAAAAUUGUAGAUAAAAACA